AGUCGAGCGAAUGGAUUAAGAGCUUGCUCUUAUGAAGUUAGCGGCGGACGGGUGAGUAACACGUGGGUAACCUGCCCAUAAGACUGGGAUAACUCCGGGAAACCGGGGCUAAUACCGGAUAACAUUUUGAACUGCAUGGUUCGAAAUUGAAAGGCGGCUUCGGCUGUCACUUAUGGAUGGACCCGCGUCGCAUUAGCUAGUUGGUGAGGUAACGGCUCACCAAGGCAACGAUGCGUAGCCGACCUGAGAGGGUGAUCGGCCACACUGGGACUGAGACACGGCCCAGACUCCUACGGGAGGCAGCAGUAGGGAAUCUUCCGCAAUGGACGAAAGUCUGACGGAGCAACGCCGCGUGAGUGAUGAAGGCUUUCGGGUCGUAAAACUCUGUUGUUAGGGAAGAACAAGUGCUAGUUGAAUAAGCUGGCACCUUGACGGUACCUAACCAGAAAGCCACGGCUAACUACGUGCCAGCAGCCGCGGUAAUACGUAGGUGGCAAGCGUUAUCCGGAAUU
This 512-nucleotide ribosomal RNA is filed under the name Bacillus cereus. RNAcentral describes it as "bacterial SSU rRNA". It matches the Rfam family "Bacterial small subunit ribosomal RNA", at positions 60 to 552 of the family's 1533-position model. Lineage: Bacteria; Bacillati; Bacillota; Bacilli; Caryophanales; Bacillaceae. The record is from RNAcentral.